UGGAAGACCACCACGUCGAUAGGCCGGGUGUGGAAGCGCAGCAAUGUGUGAAGCUUACCGGUACUAAUAGCUCGAUUGGCUUGAUCGUUCUCAUU
RNAcentral lists this ribosomal RNA (95 nucleotides) under Pelagibacterium sp. SCN 64-44. RNAcentral describes it as "partial 23S ribosomal RNA". It matches the Rfam family "Bacterial large subunit ribosomal RNA", at positions 2838 to 2925 of the family's 2925-position model. Lineage: Bacteria; Pseudomonadati; Pseudomonadota; Alphaproteobacteria; Hyphomicrobiales; Devosiaceae. The record is from RNAcentral.